AGGAUAGUAGUUAAGUAUAACAUUUGAUUUGCAUUCAAAAGGUGUUGGUUAUUCAACUUAUCUU
RNAcentral lists this transfer RNA (64 nucleotides) under Neurothemis fulvia. Its description in RNAcentral is "tRNA-Ala". It matches the Rfam family "tRNA". Rfam says of the family: Transfer RNA (tRNA) molecules are approximately 80 nucleotides in length. Lineage: Eukaryota; Metazoa; Arthropoda; Insecta; Odonata; Libellulidae. The record is from RNAcentral.